This 288-nucleotide ribosomal RNA is filed under the name Klebsiella pneumoniae. Its description in RNAcentral is "partial 16S ribosomal RNA". It matches the Rfam family "Bacterial small subunit ribosomal RNA", at positions 1 to 287 of the family's 1533-position model. Lineage: Bacteria; Pseudomonadati; Pseudomonadota; Gammaproteobacteria; Enterobacterales; Enterobacteriaceae. The record is from RNAcentral.
AAAUUGAAGAGUUUGAUCAUGGCUCAGAUUGAACGCUGGCGGCAGGCCUAACACAUGCAAGUCGAGCGGUAGCACAGAGAGCUUGCUCUCGGGUGACGAGCGGCGGACGGGUGAGUAAUGUCUGGGAAACUGCCUGAUGGAGGGGGAUAACUACUGGAAACGGUAGCUAAUACCGCAUAACGUCGCAAGACCAAAGUGGGGGACCUUCGGGCCUCAUGCCAUCAGAUGUGCCCAGAUGGGAUUAGCUAGUAGGUGGGGUAACGGCUCACCUAGGCGACGAUCCCUAGC